Molecule: ribosomal RNA, 692 nt
Filed under: uncultured Bacteroidales bacterium
Lineage: Bacteria; Pseudomonadati; Bacteroidota; Bacteroidia; Bacteroidales
Description: bacterial SSU rRNA
Rfam family: Bacterial small subunit ribosomal RNA
Source: RNAcentral
GGGGCAGCAUGGUCUUAGCUUGCUAAGGCCGAUGGCGACCGGCGCACGGGUGAGUAACACGUAUCCAACCUGCCGUCUACUCUUGGACAGCCUUCUGAAAGGAAGAUUAAUACAAGAUGGCAUCAUGAGUCCGCAUGUUCACAUGAUUAAAGGUAUUCCGGUAGACGAUGGGGAUGCGUUCCAUUAGAUAGUAGGCGGGGUAACGGCCCACCUAGUCUUCGAUGGAUAGGGGUUCUGAGAGGAAGGUCCCCCACAUUGGAACUGAGACACGGUCCAAACUCCUACGGGAGGCAGCAGUGAGGAAUAUUGGUCAAUGGGCGAGAGCCUGAACCAGCCAAGUAGCGUGAAGGAUGACUGCCCUAUGGGUUGUAAACUUCUUUUAUAAAGGAAUAAAGUCGGGUAUGCAUACCCGUUUGCAUGUACUUUAUGAAUAAGGAUCGGCUAACUCCGUGCCAGCAGCCGCGGUAAUACGGAGGAUCCGAGCGUUAUCCGGAUUUAUUGGGUUUAAAGGGAGCGUAGAUGGAUGUUUAAGUCAGUUGUGAAAGUUUGCGGCUCAACCGUAAAAUUGCAGUUGAUACUGGAUAUCUUGAGUGCAGUUGAGGCAGGCGGAAUUCGUGGUGUAGCGGUGAAAUGCUUAGAUAUCACGAAGAACUCCGAUUGCGAAGGCAGCCUGCUAAGCUGCAACUGACAUU